UCCGCAGCGCGUGUUUCAGCACGAUGUUGCGGAAGGUGACGCCCUUGAGGCGCGCGGUGCGGAUAUAUUGCGCCGUCAUCACCUCGGCCAUGGAGGCGCGGGUCAUCCGGGCGAUAUAGCCCAUGCCAUACAGCGCGAUGGUCAGCACCGGCAGGAAGAAGUUCUCGAAGGUGGCGUUGU
Molecule: small RNA, 180 nt
Organism: Pseudooceanicola atlanticus
Lineage: Bacteria; Pseudomonadati; Pseudomonadota; Alphaproteobacteria; Rhodobacterales; Paracoccaceae
Rfam family: Ruegeria cis52 sRNA
About the family: Cis-encoded. Targets oligo/dipeptide ABC transporter.
Source: Rfam